This 425-nucleotide ribosomal RNA is filed under the name uncultured bacterium. RNAcentral's name for it is "bacterial SSU rRNA". It matches the Rfam family "Bacterial small subunit ribosomal RNA", at positions 356 to 772 of the family's 1533-position model. The record is from RNAcentral.
GGGGAAUUGUUCGCAAUGGGCGCAAGCCUGACGACGCAACGCCGCGUGGAGGACGAAGACCUUCGGGUCGUAAACUCCUUUCGAUCGGGAAGAACGGCUUCCGGGUGAACAAUCCGGAAGAGUGACGGUACCGAGAGAAGAAGCCCCGGCUAACUCUGUGCCAGCAGCCGCGGUAAUACAGGGGGGGCAAGCGUUGUUCGGAAUUACUGGGCGUAAAGGGCGUGCAGGCGGCUUGUUAAGUGCAGGGUGAAAGCUCCCGGCUCAACUGGGAGAGGUCCUUGCAUACUGGCGAGCUCGAGGGAGGCAGAGGAAAGUGGAAUUCCCGGUGUAGUGGUGAUAUGCGUAGAUAUCGGGAGGAACACCUGUGGCGAAGGCGGCUUUCUGGGCCUUACCUGACGCUGAGACGCGAAAGCGUGGGGAGCGAA